CCUAAAAUGCUGUCAGGGUAACUAACUGUUAGUGCUAGCGUGGUCUGAUGGCAAGCGUGGGGUGUCAACCUUGUGGGUUCUUCUUAUAGCUCUGUCACAAACUGAAGUAGCUAUUCACCAUUUUGGUUGUCCACAGCAGAAACUGCAGAAGACUUAAAGGGGAGAUGCAAGAUGAUGCGCAGGCAGUUCAGCCUGCAGGUCUAGCUGAGCGUGGGAUGGCUGGACACACCGAGGUGGUUUUCCAACAGCCACCCUGGAUUUUGAGAAGAAUGUGUUAUUCAGAGCACUGCAAGACCAAACCUUCCUUGUAAUCAGGCAGUGGGAUUGCACUGAGGUGUGAAAAUAAAUUCAUUCAAGAGCAUCCCCUAGAGGACUUGACAGGCUACCAAAAUUAUUCAUGUUGAAAAAACUUGUCUUUAGCAAACUAUUCUCCUUUCAGGAUGUGUCUUGGCAGCAGUGGCCAUUCUCUGCUCCUGUUGCAUGUUCUUCCAGGAAACAGUUUGAUAAUGAACAAAGCAGAGGGAACACCUAUCACAGGUGAACUGGAAAUUGCCCAGACAGACCUAUAAACCGUGCAUGUAGAUCUGACCAGAGUUUGGUUUUGUUUUAUUGAAGAAAGCUUUCCUCAGCAGCAGAGUCGAGUCACUCACCUGUGACUCUCUACUUCUUUACUGUGAAGAACGCCUCCAAAUACACCUUUUUAACCUUGUGCACAGUAUCCCAUAGAAUUAAGAUCCAGAUGCGAACAGCCCUGUUAAAACUGAAAUAGACAAGGUUGACCAUAGAAUAAAUGGAAAAUGCAAGUGGCAGAAUAAAAAUCAAGUGUAUAAAUAGACUGGCUUGGAGCAUGAGUGGUAAAUAUGGUAUUGUGAGGUCUUGUGUUUCGCUACUUGUCAGAUUACUUUUAAAAUUUCUUACAACUUGCUAGCUUAUUGUAAUGGAGGAAUAUAAAAAUGUAUGCUACUUCACGGAUUUCUUUGGAAAGGUGCUUGUAUUCUGGCCUUCAAGGCUGAAGUUUCCAAAAUGGGGUCAGGCUAGGUGACUGGCCAAGGACAAUCCAUGUUAAACAUCUUUUAUUUUUAAGGUUUGCAUUUAGUAAAGCACUUCUAUAAAAAUUUGCUUAAUUUAAGCAAGUGUUUACAUCUCACUCACUAACUUGAGUUGGUGACCCUAACUUUUCCAAAUAAGCCCUGAAGCUCCAGGAAUCCACUUUGUCUCCUCCUAGCACAGGAUGUCUCAAGUCACAGGGAAAUUACAGGUUGUGUUUCUACUUCUCGGACAUUACUGCCUUGGAAUAGUCUGCUGCAAAUGUAAUUUUUGAUAAAAAGCCAAAAUAAACUUUCAAAAAAACCCUUAAAAGUUUAGCUUCACAAGAGAAGCCCCUGGAGCCCAAUUUUUGACAUUGAUAUCCCAAAUGAUCUUGGUUUGGUUAUGGUUUGGGCCAGGUUUGCAAAGUGUCACUGUGGAUUUCUUGUAUCACAAUUCUUUGUAUUUUUGUAAGCUAUUCCUUCUAACUGUAGCAGACAAGUAUAUAGUACAACUUUUUACUUUUAAAAAGUAUUGUCUAUAUUUAGCAUUACUCCCUAAUUCAAGUUGCUUUCUGAAGCUAAUGAAAGAUUUAAAUCUGGAAGCUCUUUAGCUUUUAGCACAUGAAUUUGCCUAAAAAUGUCAGCAAAACAUUUUCAAUCUGAUCCUGCAUUUAUUUUUGUGCAUUUAUAGAUGUGUGUAUUUAAUGUCCUCAGCACGUGUAUUUGUGUGGAUAUGUACAUAUACUUGGUAUUGCAUGGCUGUGAAAAUAAAACUGAGCUUUAUAAUAA
Long non-coding RNA from Cygnus olor (mute swan), 1817 nucleotides. RefSeq lists it as uncharacterized. The record is from RefSeq and is a predicted model, not a curated record. The transcript has 2 exons. NCBI's taxonomy places the organism in Eukaryota, Metazoa, Chordata, Aves, Anseriformes, Anatidae.